RNAcentral lists this ribosomal RNA (253 nucleotides) under uncultured bacterium. Its description in RNAcentral is "partial 16S ribosomal RNA". It matches the Rfam family "Bacterial small subunit ribosomal RNA", at positions 524 to 776 of the family's 1533-position model. The record is from RNAcentral.
UACAGAGGUGCCGAGCGUUAGGCGGAGUCACUGGGCUUAAAGCGUGUGUAGGCGGAUGCCUAAGUACCUUGUGAAAUCCCCCGGCUUAACCGGGGAACUGCUUGGUAUACUGGGUGUCUUGAGCCACUUAGGGGCGACCGGAACAAACGGUGGAGCGGUGAAAUGCGUAGAUAUCGUUUGGAACGCCAAUGGUGAAAACAGGUCGCUGGGAGUGUGCUGACGCUGAGACACGAAAGCCAGGGGAGCGAACGGG